GCCUACGGGGGGCUGCAGUGGGGAAUAUUGGACAAUGGGCGCAAGCCUGAUCCAGCAAUGCCGCGUGAGUGAUGAAGGCCUUCGGGUUGUAAAGCUCUUUUGCCUGCGACGAUGAUGACGGUAGCAGGAGAAUAAGCCCCGGCUAACUUCGUGCCAGCAGCCGCGGUAAUACGAAGGGGGCUAGCGUUGUUCGGAAUUACUGGGCGUAAAGGGCGCGUAGGCGGCCCUGUCAGUCAAGCGUGAAAGCCCCGGGCUCAACCUGGGAAUUGCGCCUGAUACUGCAGGGCUUGAGGGUCGGAGAGGAUGGUGGAAUUCCCAGUGUAGAGGUGAAAUUCGUAGAUAUUGGGAAGAACACCGGUGGCGAAGGCGGCCAUCUGGACGACAUCUGACGCUGAGGCGCGAAAGCGUGGGGAGCAAACAGGAUUAGAUACCCCAGUAGUCCGG
Molecule: ribosomal RNA, 444 nt
Filed under: uncultured bacterium
Lineage: Bacteria
Description: bacterial SSU rRNA
Rfam family: Bacterial small subunit ribosomal RNA
Source: RNAcentral